Molecule: long non-coding RNA, 1267 nt
Organism: Brienomyrus brachyistius
Lineage: Eukaryota; Metazoa; Chordata; Actinopteri; Osteoglossiformes; Mormyridae
Exons: 4
Source: RefSeq, a predicted model, not a curated record
UACACACUCCGCCUUCGUUUGCGUGUUCCCGAGACUCGUCACCAUGUUGAAGUGUGUCUCAAAGCAGCAAGGGCUAAGGGGGAGUGGUCGAUUAUGCCCGCGAGAAGCGAGUCUGCAAAGAUGGUGGCUCGCGCGAUUCCACUACCACUUCCAUAUCCCACAGUUCCUAGCGCACAGGAAACAGAAGAGCGCAAAAAAGACACGGAGUACAGUAGUCUGUGGUGCCUUCAAAUGGUCCGGGAGGGUGUUCCAUAGUCGAGGGGUGGCAAAACAGAAGGCCCGAUCACCCGUGGUGCUGAGUUUGGUCCUGGGAAGAGCCUUUGAAGAUUUUUGUUGGGCAUUCCAAUGAAAAGUGCGUUGCAGUAGUCAAGUCUGCAAGACAUAAAGGCAUGAACCAGUUUUUCAGCAUCUGGCAAGUGAUGCCUGGAGACCUCAAUCUAUCAAGAUAUCCAGCACACCCGGCCACAUGUGACGUCGCCACCACCAGUGACGUCCCUGCGUCCAGCUCGCCGUUCUGAUCUUCCAUGUAUGACCCGCUGCCUUACCUCUGGUUGCCUGGCGAUUGGAAGAAGACUUUGGCAUCGGCAUUGGCUUGUCAUCUUCCUUGCUCUCCAGUUAUUUCCCAAAUCUUAUGAUUGGGACAAUGUGACUUGGCCCACCUCUGGCACUUAACCAUCUCUCUAUUUGACUAUCCCUGCCGGCCCCUGGAGGAUGCGAUCCCCCUUUGAGUCUGGUCCCUCCCAAGGUUUCUUCCUUCUUGGGAGUUUUUCCUUGCCACUGUCGCCUAUGGCUUACUCACUGGGGGCUUUGGGUGAGGAUGCUGUAAAGCGUUUGAGACAAUGUAAUGUUGUGAUAAUGCGCUAUAUAAAAAUAAAUUUGUUGUUGUUGUAUUUCAUAAAAUUAAGCCAUGGUUGCAUGAAACUAAGUCAUGAUUUCAUGAUAUGAAGAAGUCUUCAUUUCAAGUAAACAUAUCAUGUUUUCUUGAAGGUAAGUCAUUCUCUUGUGAUUAAGUCAUUAUUUCAUGAAAUUGGGCGAUGGUGUCAUGAAAGUAAGUCAUUAUUUCAUGAUAUUAUGAAGUCUUCAUUUCAAGGAAACAUCAUGUUUGCUUAAUGGUAAGUCAUUCUCUUGUGAUAUUAAGUCAUUAUUUCAUGAAAUUAGGCCAUGUUAUCAUAAAAGUAAGUGAUAAUUUCUUGAUAUUAAGAAGUCUUCAUUUCAAGAAAGUAUGUCAUGUUUUCUUGAUGAUAAGUCAUUCUCUUGUGAUAUCCAU